GUAGUCAUAUGCUUGUCUCAAAGAUUAAGCCAUGCAUGUCUAAGUAUAAAUAACUUUAUAUUGUGAAACUGCGAAUGGCUCAUUAAAUCAGUUAUGAUCUACGUGACAAAUUCUUUACUACUUGGAUAACCGUGGUAAUUCUAGAGCUAAUACAUGCAAAAAAGCCCUGACUUACGAAGGGGUGCACUUAUUAGAUAAAACCAACGCGGGGUAAAACCUGUUUCUUGGUGAAUCAUAAUAAUUAAGCGGAUCGCAUGGCCUUGUGCCGGCGACGGUCCACUCGAUUUUCUGCCCUAUCAUGGUUGAGAUUGUAAGAUAGAGGCUUACAAUGCCUACAACGGGUAACGGGG
Molecule: ribosomal RNA, 350 nt
Filed under: uncultured fungus
Lineage: Eukaryota; Fungi
Description: SSU rRNA
Rfam family: Eukaryotic small subunit ribosomal RNA
Source: RNAcentral